GAAUACCCGCUGAACUUAAGCAUAU
RNAcentral lists this ribosomal RNA (25 nucleotides) under Emericellopsis pallida. Its description in RNAcentral is "partial 28S ribosomal RNA". Lineage: Eukaryota; Fungi; Ascomycota; Sordariomycetes; Hypocreales; Bionectriaceae. The record is from RNAcentral. RNAcentral also lists the same sequence under 1 other name.